ACAGAGGUCUUAAGCGUUGUUCGGAUUCAUUGGGCGUAAAGGGUGCGUAGGUGGCGCGCUAAGUCAGGUGUGAAAUUUCGGAGCUUAACUCCGAAACUGCAUUUGUUACUGGCGUGCUUGAGGACUGGAGAGGAGACUGGAAUUCACGGUGUAGCGGUGAAAUGCGUAGAGAUCGGAAGGAACACCAGUGGCGAAGGCGGCUACCUGGACAAAUACUGACGCUGAGGCGCGAAAGCGUGGGGAGCAAACAGGA
This 253-nucleotide ribosomal RNA is filed under the name uncultured prokaryote. RNAcentral's name for it is "partial 16S ribosomal RNA". It matches the Rfam family "Bacterial small subunit ribosomal RNA", at positions 525 to 777 of the family's 1533-position model. The record is from RNAcentral.